AAAGAGAUAUCUGUUUAUCUCUUCAUUCAUAAUGAAGAAACAUCCAAUGAUGGAUUAGAUUCAUAAUCUAAUACUUUUACGCUUCCAUUACGUUACUCUAAUUCUUCCUCGAUCUUUGAGGAAUUUAUCCUUUAGUAUUUCUUAAAUACUUAAGGACUCACUUGACAGUUGCCAUGGUUCUGAUCCUGGGCUUGCACUGAUAUUGUCUUGUACCGUUUUAGGUACAACUCAUAUCAAUGUUUUUCAUACAA
RNAcentral lists this long non-coding RNA (251 nucleotides) under Malus domestica (apple). Its description in RNAcentral is "long non-coding RNA (MDOM_LNC021043)". The record is from RNAcentral. Lineage: Eukaryota; Viridiplantae; Streptophyta; Magnoliopsida; Rosales; Rosaceae.